GAGUACAAGGAUGGAUUUGGGGAUCAUAGCGACUCUUACUGGAUUGGAAAUGACUUGAUUCAUCAGCUUACCAAGGGAAAUGACUCAUCCCUCUACGUCUCUAUCACAUUACAAAAUGGCAAUAUUUUGUAUGAACAUUAUCAUCAGUUUUCUGUUUCUGGUGAAUCAGACAAAUACAAACUCUUUCUUGGAGGACCAGCUACCGGAACCUUGGCAGACCGUUU
Molecule: long non-coding RNA, 224 nt
Organism: Saccostrea echinata
Lineage: Eukaryota; Metazoa; Mollusca; Bivalvia; Ostreida; Ostreidae
Exons: 3
Source: RefSeq, a predicted model, not a curated record